GGAGGUAUAGCUCAGUGGUAGAGUGUGUGCCUAGUGUGCAGGAGGUCCUGGGUUCAAUCCCUGGUACUUCCA
Molecule: transfer RNA, 72 nt
Organism: Camelus ferus (Wild Bactrian camel)
Lineage: Eukaryota; Metazoa; Chordata; Mammalia; Artiodactyla; Camelidae
Rfam family: tRNA
About the family: Transfer RNA (tRNA) molecules are approximately 80 nucleotides in length.
Source: Rfam